RNAcentral lists this ribosomal RNA (1177 nucleotides) under unidentified. RNAcentral describes it as "Spelaeomysis bottazzii 16S ribosomal RNA". The record is from RNAcentral.
AACUUUUAUAAAAAAUAGAAUUUGAUUAAUUAAAAUAAACUUAUUUUAGUAUUUAACUACUUAAAAUAUAAGCUGAUAAGCAUUUAUUAAUUGAAUUAUAAAAAUUAAAUUUUUGUACCUUUUGUAUCAGGGUCUACCUAAAUAUAUAAAUAUAUUAUAAUCCCGAAAUAAAAUGAUCUAUUUUUAUAAAAAUAAUAUUGUAAUAAACUAUAAAUAAUAUAAUAAUAGAAGUGAAAUAUUAAUCGCAUUUUAAAAUAUCUGGUUUCUAGAAAAAAUAAUUCAAUUAAAUUGUUGAUCAAACAUGAAAAAAAAGAAAGGUUAAGCUCUCUUUUUUAAAUAUUUAUAAAUACUAAAUAUUAUUUUAUUCCUAAAAAUAGUUUUAAUAAUAAUUUAUUAUAAUUAAAUCAGUAAUAACUAUUCAUUUAUAUUUAAUAAUAUUAAAAAAAUCUAGAAAUUUAAUUAAAUAAACUAAUUAAAUAAAUACUGGUAGUAUUAGUACCAUCUUUAUAUAUAAACAAGGAACUCGGCAAUAAACUUUUUAACUGUUUAUCAAAAACACUUCUUUAUUAUAAUCAUAAAGUAUAAUCUGCUCACUGAAUUUUUAAAGAGCUGCAGUAUAUUAACUGUACAAAGGUAGCAAAAUAAUUUGUAUUUUAAUUGAAUACUUGUAUGAAUGAUUUAAUAAAAAGUAACUGUCUCUUUUAUAUAAUUUGAAUUUUAACUUUAAGUGAAAAUGCUUAAAUAACUAAGAAAGACGAUAAGACCCUUUGAAACUUUAUAAAAAUAAACAUUAUUAACAAUUUAAGUUUUGUGUUAAUUUUUAUUUUACUGGGGAAAGUACAUAUAUUUAAAAUAUAAGUUAAUAAAGAUAAUUAAUCUAUAUAAGAUCCUAUUUAAAGAUCGAAAGUAAAAGUUACUCUAGGGAUAACAGAACAAUUUACUUUUGGAGACCUUAUCUACAAGUAUAUUGUCACCUCGAUGUUGAAUUAAAUUUAAUCAAGAAUGCAGUCGUUCUUAAAUUGGAUUUGUUCAAUCCUUAAAAAUUUACAUGAUUUGAGUUCAAAUCGGCGUAAGCCAGAUUGUUUUCUAUCUUCUUAAAAAGAAAGUUUAUUUUAGUACGAAAGGACCAAAUAAACUAUAUUAUAUAUAAAUAUAGAAUAAAUUUAAAUUGAAUUUU